Molecule: transfer RNA, 61 nt
Filed under: Strigamia maritima
Lineage: Eukaryota; Metazoa; Arthropoda; Chilopoda; Geophilomorpha; Linotaeniidae
Description: tRNA-His
Source: RNAcentral
GGCUUAUUAGUUUAUGGAAGAAUGCUAAUUUGUGGUGUUAGAUGUGGGCUCUUCUAAGUUU